This 497-nucleotide ribosomal RNA is filed under the name uncultured bacterium. RNAcentral's name for it is "partial 16S ribosomal RNA". It matches the Rfam family "Bacterial small subunit ribosomal RNA", at positions 28 to 507 of the family's 1533-position model. The record is from RNAcentral.
GAUGAACGCUGGCGGCGUGCCUAAUACAUGCAAGUCGAACGGACGGACGAUGAUCUUGCUGCUCGCAUGUUAGCGGCGGGCGUGUGAGUAACACGUGUAUAACCUACCUAUAAUACUGGUAUAACUUCGGGAAACCGGAUCUAAUACCAUAUGAUAUUUUGAACCGCAGUGGGCGAAGGUAAGAUACGGUCGUUGUGGCACUUAUAGAUGCAUCCGCGCUGUAUGGGCUAGUUGUUAAGGUAACAGCCUAGCAAGGCAACGAUGCGUAGACGAGGGGAGGGGGUGGUAGGCCACACUGGAACUGAGACAGGGACAUGAGGACUGCGGGAGGCAGCAGUAGCGAAUGUUACGCAAUAGGCGAAAGCAUGACGGAGUAAGGCCGCGUGAGAGAUGACGGUGUUCGGAUCGUAAAACUCUGUUAUUAGGGAAGAACCUAUGUGUAAGUAAAUGUGGCCAUAUUGACGGUAACUAAUAAGAAAGCACCGGCUAACUACGUG